GACGAACGCUGGCGGCGUGCUUAACACAUGCAAGUCGAACGGAGUGGCGAACGGGUGAGUAACACGUGGGUGAUCUGCCUUGCACUCUGGGAUAAGCUUGGGAAACUGGGUCUAAUACCGGAUAGUGCAAGAUUAGCUCGCGGGCUAUCAGCUUGUUGGUGAGGUAAUGGCCUACCAAGGCGUCGACGGGUAGCCGGCCUGAGAGGGUGUACGGCCACAUUGGGACUGGGGUACGGCCCAGACUCCUACGGGGGGCAGCGGUGGGGAAUAUUGCACGAUGGGCGGAAGCCUGAUGCAGCGACGCCGGGUGGGGGAUGAAGGCCUUCGAGUUGUAAACUCCUUUCGACGGGAACGCGGUACCUGAAUAGAAAGCACCGGCUAACUACGUGCCAGCAGCCGCGGUAAUAC
Molecule: ribosomal RNA, 408 nt
Filed under: uncultured bacterium
Lineage: Bacteria
Description: partial 16S ribosomal RNA
Rfam family: Bacterial small subunit ribosomal RNA
Source: RNAcentral